CAACUACCGAGAAAUCUCCGAGCAGAGGAUCACUGCGCACUGAUUGUUUCUCAUUUAUGAAACGCUUCUUAAGAAAUCCCUCUCCUUGUCACCUGAAGCUGUUCAACCCAGAUAUCAGCUAUUGCACCUAAUUUACAACAUCUACUAAAUUUUGAAUUCAAUAAAUUAAGUUUCUUCAACUUAAUUUCGCCUACAGAUGUUAAAGAAAAUCAUGUUAGUAGCGCUAGCAUAACUGUGUCAGUCACAAUUAGAGGCUUGUUGGAUAUACUUAA
This is a long non-coding RNA of Sphaeramia orbicularis (orbiculate cardinalfish), 272 nucleotides long. RefSeq lists it as uncharacterized. The record is from RefSeq and is a predicted model, not a curated record. Lineage: Eukaryota; Metazoa; Chordata; Actinopteri; Kurtiformes; Apogonidae. The transcript has 3 exons.